RNAcentral lists this microRNA precursor (105 nucleotides) under Marmota monax (woodchuck). Lineage: Eukaryota; Metazoa; Chordata; Mammalia; Rodentia; Sciuridae. The record is from RNAcentral.
AUAUUAAUCAACUGAGGUUCUUGUUUAAAUGCAGAUUCGGAUUCCAUAGGUCUGGCAUGAGGUCCAAGACUCAGUAUUUCAAACAAGUUCCCAGGUGUUAUUGAU